UAUAGAAAAAAAUGAAUGAAAGGUAUUCAAAGAAGUUCCGGUGAUAAAGGAAAUAUGCCAUUGUUAACUGUUUAUAGUGUGAAAAUGA
Long non-coding RNA from Amblyraja radiata (thorny skate), 88 nucleotides. RefSeq lists it as uncharacterized. The transcript has 3 exons. NCBI's taxonomy places the organism in Eukaryota, Metazoa, Chordata, Chondrichthyes, Rajiformes, Rajidae. The record is from RefSeq and is a predicted model, not a curated record.